This is a long non-coding RNA of Rhagoletis zephyria (snowberry fruit fly), 211 nucleotides long. RefSeq lists it as uncharacterized. NCBI's taxonomy places the organism in Eukaryota, Metazoa, Arthropoda, Insecta, Diptera, Tephritidae. The record is from RefSeq and is a predicted model, not a curated record.
GGCUGGCAGGCUACGGUAUGUGUAUAUCGUCCCCUCAAUAUAACAAUAGCGUAUGUGCUCAUACGCCAUUAUUUUUUUAUUGCAUAUUUAGAAUCUCCAUCAUUGAUUCUAUGUCUGGUCAAAAUUUCGUCAAAUUCUACUUCCACAAAGUGGGUCAAAAUGUCAUUGGAAAAAAUGGUGUAUAAUUUCUUGUUCAAAAAUUUAAUAGACA